Rhododendron vialii is the source of this 510-nucleotide long non-coding RNA. RefSeq lists it as uncharacterized. The record is from RefSeq and is a predicted model, not a curated record. The transcript is spliced from 2 exons. NCBI's taxonomy places the organism in Eukaryota, Viridiplantae, Streptophyta, Magnoliopsida, Ericales, Ericaceae.
CAAUCAGAAACAUAUCAACCAAUCUCGUAACAGUCAUGUUGUUAAUAAGACCAGUGACGUAAUAACAAACGUGAAAAAUGUUUCAAAUCCCCCAGUCCUGUUUCUACUUUUGAGCUGUAAAUAUAGUCUAUUGACCAAUGAUAGCAGGCACUUACUAGGUUAAAUUACUAUGAAGAAAAAACUUUAUCCUAUACAUUCACCAAACGAAAAUUCCAAUAAACAUACAACUCCAGCACUAAAUACAAGUUUGGAUACAGAUUUUCAUGCACGGUGUUGAGAUUAAGGAGAAACAGUAACCAACAAAUGAUCAUAAGUCUGCUUGAGCGCCUAUGUCCUUCCAGAUUAAGCAACUAUUGGCUUUGGAAUUAACAGGUCACAUGCGUGACAGGUGAAAAUGUCUUUUAUGAUAACAGAUAGACACAGAUGUAUUGUCUGUCACAAAACUGAAGCUUGUAUAGACACAAUUUUUCUCUAUAUUAAUCUGACAUGUAUGCAUACCACUGUAUAGUA